This 383-nucleotide unclassified non-coding RNA is filed under the name uncultured bacterium. RNAcentral describes it as "contains 16S-23S intergenic spacer region". The record is from RNAcentral.
UCGCGGCUUAUCACCGGCAGUCCCCUUAGAGUGCCCAACUGAAUGAUGGCAACUAAGGGCGAGGGUUGCGCUCGUUGCGGGACUUAACCCAACAUCUCACGACACGAGCUGACGACAGCCAUGCAGCACCAGUGCCCCCUCUCGACUCGACGAGUCGUCCCCCUUUCAGGGUUCUACUUGGGGCAUGUCCAGCCUGGGUAAGGUUCUUCGCGUUGCGUCGAAUUAAACCACACGCUCCGCUGCUUGUGCGGGCCCCCGCCUAUUCCUUUGAGUUUUAACCUUGCGGCCGUAGUCCCCAGGCGGUGAACUUAAUGCGUUAGCUGCGGCACUGAUCGGGUCAAUCCGACCAACACCUAGUUCACAAAGUUUAGGGCGUGGACUAC